Mauremys mutica (yellowpond turtle) is the source of this 1003-nucleotide non-coding RNA. NCBI's taxonomy places the organism in Eukaryota, Metazoa, Chordata, Testudines, Geoemydidae. The record is from the annotation of a RefSeq genome assembly.
CCCGGGCCUGGCUGCUGGGGACAGUUUGCACCUUCACUUAAAAUGAACCUGCUACGGAUUUUCCUGUUCAUGCUGGUGGCCCCUUCAGGUGUCCUCUCCCAAGUGCAGCUGAAGGAAACGGGCCCGGGAGCGGUGAAACCCGGAGAGUCCCUGACACUCACUUGUACCAUCUCUGGAGACUCGGUUUCUAGCGCCAGCGUCACCUGGACCUGGAUCCGGCAGCCUGCGGGGAAAGGGCUGGAAUGGGUGGGACGCAUUUACUACAAACCGAGUCAGUGGUACACUAACUACGCCAGCGGUCUGCAGAGCCGCGUGUCCAUCACACAAGACACUUCCAAGAACCAGUUCUCUCUGCAGCUUCGCUCGCUGACAGCUGCGGACACCGCCACCUAUUACUGCGCCAGAGAGACACAGUGACACAGAGCAGAGCGGGACUGGCACAAAAAGGGGAAGCGGAUUCUGACCACUUAAUUUUCACAAUUUGAGCCGAAAGAGCUGAGAUUCUCCUCUCCCCCUUCCCCAUAACACUCCAUGUACGUGGAAAGAAAAUGCAAAGGGGAGGCGGGUACGGAAUCUGAGCGAACUUCUGAUGUAUAUUUGCACCAAGGUGAUGCCACGAACAGGAGGAUCAUGAGCCCAGUGACACGCACCAACGCCCUGAUGGCGAUAUUUACAAAAGUGCUGGCAGCGCUUGUCCAGCAAAAUGAAGUAUCCUGGAUCUUCCAAGGGCUUUUCGGGGAAACACACAAACAAAUCCAGUCCUUCCCCUCCGGAUGGGAAAGAGAAAUAGGGAAAGAGAUAGCAAGGGACUAAACGGAAAAAUGAGGUUGACCUGGAAAGUUUUCAGGAGCACCGAUUUGAAUCGAGCAGCUGAGGAGGAUGAAGACGUUGAUAAUAAUAAUAAUAGUAACAAAAUAAUAACACGUGGUGUUCAGAUCGGGUGCUGUACUAACACCCAGGAAACAAAGAACAGGAAAUUGCACAAGGAAAACGAGGAAGUGGA